UAAAGCGUUGCCCACAAAACUGAGAAA
RNAcentral lists this non-coding RNA (27 nucleotides) under Rattus norvegicus (Norway rat). The record is from RNAcentral. Lineage: Eukaryota; Metazoa; Chordata; Mammalia; Rodentia; Muridae.